Molecule: small RNA, 1906 nt
Filed under: Pan troglodytes (chimpanzee)
Lineage: Eukaryota; Metazoa; Chordata; Mammalia; Primates; Hominidae
Description: retained intron
Source: RNAcentral
GCGGAGGAAAUUGAAACUGAGUGGCCCACGAUGGGAAGAGGGGAAGCCCAGGGGUACAGGAGGCCUCUGGGUGAAGGCAGAGGCUAACAUGGGGUUCGGAGCGACCUUGGCCGUUGGCCUGACCAUCUUUGUGCUGUCUGUCGUCACUAUCAUCAUCUGCUUCACCUGCUCCUGCUGCUGCCUUUACAAGACGUGCCGCCGACCACGUCCGGUUGUCACCACCACCACAUCCACCACUGUGGUGCAUGCCCCUUAUCCUCAGCCUCCAAGUGUGCCGCCCAGCUACCCUGGACCAAGCUACCAGGGCUACCACACCAUGCCGCCUCAGCCAGGGAUGCCAGCAGCACCCUACCCAAUGCAGUACCCACCACCUUACCCAGCCCAGCCCAUGGGCCCACCGGCCUACCACGAGACCCUGGCUGGUGAGUGCCCCUGCCAACUCUAGCCCUGCCCGACUUCCCGAGUCUCUGCCAGCAUCCCUCGGGCACCCAUCCCAAACUACAUCACUCAACAGGCCUCUGCCCCUUUCUGCUCGCCUGCCACUCACACGGCAGCCCACCAUGCUCACAGCCAACUAGGGUCCUCUCUGCUUUCAGGAGGAGCAGCCGCACCCUACCCCGCCAGCCAGCCUCCUUACAACCCGGCCUACAUGGAUGCCCCGAAGGCGGCCCUCUGAGCAUUCCCUGGCCUCUCUGUAUGCCACUUGGUUAUGUUGUGUGUGUGUGUGAGUGGUGUGCAGGCGCGGUUCCUUACGCCCCAUGUGUGCUGUGUGUGUCCAGGCACGGUUCCUUACGCCCCAUGUGUGCUGUGUGUGUCCUGCCUGUAUAUGUGGCUUCCUCUGAUGCUGACAAGGUGGGGAACAAUCCUUGCCAGAGUGGGCUGGGACCAGACUUUGUUCUCUUCCUCACCUGAAAUUAUGCUUCCUAAAAUCUCAAGCCAAACUCAAAGAAUGGGGUGGUGGGGGGCACCCUGUGAGGUGGCCCCUGAGAGGUGGGGGCCUCUCCAGGGCACAUCUGGAGUUCUUCUCCAGCUUACCCUAGGGUGACCAAGUAUGGCCUGUCACAUCAGGGUGGCGCAGCUUUCUGUGUGAUGCAGAUGUGUCCUGGUUUCGGCAGCGUAGCCAGCUGCUGCUUGAGGCCAUGGCUCGUCCCCGGAGAUGGGGGUACCCUUUGCAGAGCCAGGGACAUGAUGCAGGCGAAGCUUGGGAUCUGGCCAAGUUGGACUUUGAUCCUUUGGGCAGAUGUCCCAUUGCUCCCUGGAGCCUGUCAUGCCUGUUGGGGAUCAGGCAGCCUCCUGAUGCCAGAACACCUCAGGCAGAGCCCUACUCAGCUGUACCUGUCUGCCUGGACUGUCCCCUGUCCCUGCAUCUCCCCUGGGACCAGCUGGAGGGCCACAUGCACACACAACCUAGCUGCCCCCAGGGAGCUCUGCUGCCCUUGCUGGCCCUGCCCUUCCCACAGGUGAGCAGGGCUUCUGUCCACCAGCACACUCAGUUCUCUUCCCUGCAGUGUUUUCAUUUUAUUUUAGCCAAACAUUUUGCCUGUUUUCUGUUUUCAAACAUGAUAGUUGAUAUGAGACUGAAACCCCUGGGUUGUGGAGGGAAAUUGGCUCAGAGAUGGACAACCUGGCAACUGUGAGUCCCUGCUUCCCGACACCAGCCUCAUGGAAUAUGCAACUCCUGUACCCCAGUCCAGGGUGUUCUGGCAGCAGGGACACCUGGGCCAAUGAGCCAUCUGGACCAAAGGUGGGGUGUGGGGCCCUGGAUGGCAGCUCUGGCCCAGACAUGAAUACCUCGGUGUUCCUCCUCCCUCUAUUACUGUUUCACCAGAGCUGUCUUAGCUCAAAUCUGUUGUGUUUCUGAGUCUAGGGUCUGUACACUUGUUUAUAAUAAAUGCAAUCGUUUGGA